RNAcentral lists this ribosomal RNA (475 nucleotides) under uncultured bacterium. RNAcentral's name for it is "bacterial SSU rRNA". It matches the Rfam family "Bacterial small subunit ribosomal RNA", at positions 28 to 507 of the family's 1533-position model. The record is from RNAcentral.
GACGAACGCUGGCGGCGUGCCUAAUACAUGCAAGUCGAGCGGGGAUUAUGCUUGAUCGCUUCGGUGAGACGGCAUAUAUCCUAGCGGCGGACGGGUGAGUAACGCGUGGGUAAUCUACCUCGUAGUUCGGGAUAACAGGCCGAAAGGCUUGCUAAUACCGGAUGAGUUCAUGCUUAUGCAUAUAGGCAUGAAGAAAGGGCUAGCCCGCUAUGAGAUGAGCCCGCGUCCCAUUAGCUUGUUGGUGGGGUAAUGGCCUACCAAGGCAACGAUGGGUAGCCGGCCUGAGAGGGUGUACGGCCACACUGGGACUGAGACACGGCCCAGACUCCUACGGGGGGCAGCAGUAGGGAAUUUUCGGCAAUGGGCGAAAGCCUGACCGAGCGACGCCGCGUGAGGGACGAAGGCCUUCGGUUGUAACCUCUGUCUGGGGGAUGAGAACGGACGGUACCCCGGAGGAAGCCCGGCUAACUACGUG